ACAGCUAGUAUUUUAUUGUAGAUUUGAAGCGUAAUAACCAGGUACUAUUGCCCAGACCAAAGUCAUGCUUGCGCAACACGUGUGCAUAUGUUUUAAAGUUGGAUACAAAUCAGACUCAAGCAGGUAAGCUAAUGGCUGAAGUGGUAUUGAGGAACACUCUUAACCCAUCCCCCACCACCGCCGCCGCUGCUUUCUAGCCCUGCAUUAUUGAACAUGCUGCAGCACGACCAGAAGAUUGUGAAACAUGUGCUGUGAUGGCAGGGUGGCGGAAAAUCCCCAGAAACUCGUCAACACUUCUGAGUGUCAUAUUCACUUCCUUGAUGGUGUAAAGG
Eleginops maclovinus (Patagonian blennie) is the source of this 332-nucleotide long non-coding RNA. RefSeq lists it as uncharacterized. The transcript is spliced from 3 exons. The record is from RefSeq and is a predicted model, not a curated record. Lineage: Eukaryota; Metazoa; Chordata; Actinopteri; Perciformes; Eleginopidae.